GAAACAGAGUUGAGGAAAGAAUGCAGUAUGAGAAAAUGGACAGAAUACAUAUAUUCUUUUGAGUCUGCUAAGAGGAGCAAAGAAAAAGCGGCACACACACUCAGGUGUUUCUAGAACUGAAGAUACAGUGCAGUUAGUAUGCUGAUAGGACUAAACUCACAGCAGUCCUCCUGCCUCAGCCUCCCAAGUGCCGGGAUUCCAGGUGUGCAGCACCAUGCCUGACUCACUUUGAAGUACUAACAGAGCUUCUCCUCCCCUCACCUCUGCCGGCUGCAUCUAACAUACAGAUCCCACUGCUGCGGGAAAGACUACUGCCAGAAGGGCAGGCUGAACUCAAAGCAUACCCUCCAGAUUCCACAGGUGAAUUCCACGAUCCCUUAAAACCCAGCUUUUUCCUGAGAAACCUGGACGUACCUGAUCUUAAGGCUCACAUGUGACCAAGGCUACAAAGCCUGACUACCGGGCCUCAUGUCUGAUCCCCAGGUUCCACUGUGAACAUUACAACAGUUCUGGAAGCUCUGAAAAGCCUGAAACCCAAUCAGCCCAGUGUCCCUGAAGAUCAGGUUAUCAACGCUACAAGCAGAGGCACGUAAGGCUGUAUUUCCAACUGCUUUAGAUCUUUCACUUUGGUCUUCCUAGUGUGCUUCAGAGCAAGAAGCACUCCAAUUCUCUAUCACCUCUGACUUUCAUCAACGGGAAUUUCAGUUGCUGGAAGCUGUAGCUUAUCAUUUUAAGUCCAGCAGUAAAGAAAGAUCUGCUAGGACUAGGUCAUAACGGAGUGGUGGAGGGCUUACACAGCAUGAGUGAGGCCCUAGGUCCAAUCCCUAGCACAAGAAAAGACACAAAAAAC
Molecule: long non-coding RNA, 850 nt
Filed under: Heterocephalus glaber (naked mole-rat)
Lineage: Eukaryota; Metazoa; Chordata; Mammalia; Rodentia; Bathyergidae
Description: lncRNA (ENSHGLG00100042256.1)
Source: RNAcentral